RNAcentral lists this ribosomal RNA (245 nucleotides) under uncultured bacterium. RNAcentral's name for it is "partial 16S ribosomal RNA". It matches the Rfam family "Bacterial small subunit ribosomal RNA", at positions 524 to 768 of the family's 1533-position model. The record is from RNAcentral.
UACGAAGGGGGCUAGCGUUGCUCGGAAUGACUGGGCGUAAAGGGCGCGUAGGCGGCGUAAUCGGUCAGGCGUGAAAUUCCUGGGCUUAACCUGGGGGCUGCGCUUGAUACAGUUAUGCUUGAGUGUGGAAGAGGGUCGUGGAAUUCCCAGUGUAGAGGUGAAAUUCGUAGAUAUUGGGAAGAACACCGGUGGCGAAGGCGGCGACCUGGUCCAUUACUGACGCUGAGGCGCGAAAGCGUGGGGAG